GACUCAAACGAGCAGGCGGCACAAUGAGACGAUCACAAACAGCAUGAUGUACAUUAACAGUUACGCCUGACGACCAUAGCACGCGUGAACCACCUGAUCCCUUGCCGAACUCAGAAGUGAAACCGCUUAGCGCCGAUGGUAGUGUGGGGUCUCCCCAUGCGAGAGUAGGUCAUCGUCAGGCACUUAUUAUGAAAAAUCCCCCAGGGCUGAUGCCUUGGGGGAUUUUUUUUGCGUGUGGGGGAGGUUGUGAGGGGUAAAUGGUGGGCAGUAAAGGGUAAGUCGUGAAUCGUGAGUAGGAAACGUUGGUGAAUGGCUAUCUCCCGAAUAUCCUGUUCCGCCUCACGCCUCACGCCUCACGCCUCACGCCUCACGCCUCACGCCUCACGCCUCACGCCUCACGCCUCACGCCUCACGCCUCACGCCUCACUUUUAUACAUCCCUUCGAUGCUGGCACUGCCCGCCUGCCCAGGUUUCAUAAAUAGCGCGGUCGUCCGCCAGCAUCAUGAGUGCAAACAGCCGCUCACCAAGCGUGGUGCAAUGAUUGAUUCGUCGAGAGAGUAGCGAUGUUGCCUGGGUGUCAAUCACCACAAAGUCAGCCUCAAGGGUAGGCGCCAACUGACCGAUGUGGCUAUCCAACGAGAGAGCUUUUGCAUUACCCAUGGUUAAGCCAUAAAAGCCCUGCCAUGCGGUAAGGGGCUGUCCGCCUAGUUGACCCACUUGAUAGGCCGCUUUAAGCGUUCCAAAUCCUGAUAAAUCAGUGCCUGCGCCGAUAUCGCUGGCAAACGUAUAUGCCAUGCCCGUCUGUUUGGCUGCUUCGCGGUCGAAUAACCCGCUACCCAGAAAAAGAUUGGAGCUGGGGCAAAAGGCAAUAUUGGCUCCUCGAUCCGCCAAGCGUUUGCGCAUGCCGUUAUCGAGGUGAAUACCAUGAGCGAAGGUGCUGCGGGGCCCGACUAAGCCUGCCUCCUCAUACACAGCCAAGUAGUCGCGGCUACCAGGAAAAAGUUCGGCUACCCAGUCUAACUCGCCACUGUUUUCAGCUAAGUGGGUCUGUAACCAAAGGCUAGGAUCAUUACGUAAGAGAGCGCCGGCAGCGUCCAUUUGCGUCUUAGUUGAAGUCGGCGCAAAACGCGGUGUGACGCUAUAGCCCAGGCGGUCAUUGCCGUGCCAGUCUUCAAUCAGUCGCUCGCUGUCAGCAAUGCCAGAUGCACCGUCCAUCAGCGCCUCUGGCGCAUUACGAUCCAUCAAUACCUUACCCACCAGCAUGCGCAGCUGGCGUUUUUGGCAGGCGGUGAAAAAUGCAUCUACGGAGCCGGGGUGGCUAGAGCCGAAUACCUGGGCAGUGGUAGUGCCCGCACGUAGCAUUUCAUCCAAAAAAGCAUUAGACAGCGCUUCAGCAUGGACAUGAUUAGCAAAGCGACACUCUUCAGGAAAGGUGUAGUCGUUUAGCCAGUCAAGCAGUUGGCGGCCAUAAGAAGCCAUGAUAUCCAGCUGCACAUAGUGCACAUGGGUAUCGAUAAACCCCGGCAUAAUCAGCUUGUCACGAUAAUCAAGAACGUCAGCCCCUUUGGGUAGCAAAGGUGAGAGUUCGGUGAAAUGGCCGACGGCAUGAAUAUGCUGGCCUUUCAACCAGAGCAGUCCGUCGCCGUAAUGCUCUAAGCUGCCCGGUUCAGGUGUAUUGCCAUCGCCAGGGUCACGGGCAAAACUAAUCAAUUCAGCACGAAUGAACGUAUCGGUAGAAGAAGUCAUAUCAACUCGGGGUCGUCGGAGAAUCGGUCAUUAGCGUUCGCACUGCCUGGGGGUCAAGGCCACGGUUUUCUUGCGAAGAGGGCGUGUCCGUUAGCCAAAGCAGUUCAGCCACCACCGUUAAAGCAAUCGCAUAGGGCGUUUUAUUACUCAGCUUAGUGGCGUGGAUGUGGCCGAUAGGGCAUCGCACCUGCGCAAUUUGAUCGGCGGAGUAACCAUCGCGCUUAAGGCGUCCUUCAAAGCUUGCCCAUUUGCUGUCAGAACCAAUUAGCCCAAUCGACGCGAUGCCAUCGCGCGCGAUCAGCGCUUUGAUCAGCGCAUAGUCUUCGUCAUGGUUGUGCGUCAAUACCAGUGCGUGGCUAUCAGCAGGUAAGGCGGCAACACUUUGCUGUGCAUCUUGGAGUGAAUAACAGCUAAGUCGCGGCUGCUGCUGAUGGUACUGCUCGGCAAACGCAUCGCUUCGGCUAUCGUACCAGUGUAAUUGCCAGGGAAGCGGCGCACUUAGCUUUACCAGUUGCUGCCCUACGUGCCCUGCACCAAAGAUCGCUAUGUGCGUUGUAGUGCCUGGAAAGGCUUCCAAUAGGAUAUUAACGAACCCACCACAGCACUGGCCGCUUCGUCCGCCCAAAGAGAAGGCUUCCAAACUGAGGCCAUAGCAUUUUUCUGUCAAACAAGCACGUGCAGCGGUAAUGGUUUGCCACUCAAAGGUACCGCCACCUAGUGUAUCGAAGAUCGCAUCGUUGGUGAUCACCAUGCGUGCGCCAGGCUCCCGGGGAGUGGAGCCUGCGCUGGUUACCUGAGUGGCUAAUACAUGCGGUAUGCCGUCGCGCUGUAGGCGGUGUAACGCCGCAUGCCAGCUUUCUGGGUUUUGACUAGAACUCACAGCACUUUCUUCCUGAUAGCGUUGGCUGCCAGCAUGACCCGCUCUGGUGUGGCCGGUGUAUCUAAGUGAGGAGAGAUGGCGUAACCAGUAAGGCUGGAUAGCGCAUCACGCAGCGCUGACCACACACUGAUGCCGAGCAUUAAAGGGGGCUCACCGACU
RNAcentral lists this ribosomal RNA (2785 nucleotides) under Vreelandella titanicae BH1. Lineage: Bacteria; Pseudomonadati; Pseudomonadota; Gammaproteobacteria; Oceanospirillales; Halomonadaceae. The record is from RNAcentral.